Delphinapterus leucas (beluga whale) is the source of this 1229-nucleotide long non-coding RNA. RefSeq lists it as uncharacterized. The record is from RefSeq and is a predicted model, not a curated record. Lineage: Eukaryota; Metazoa; Chordata; Mammalia; Artiodactyla; Monodontidae.
GCCGCAGACCCAGACACCAGCUCUCUCCCUGGAGCAUCGCCUGCCCCUCAAGGGCCUCAGCCCUGCCUCUCCCAGCCCUGGGGCACUGAGCUGGCAAAGACUGGCAAGUGGAGGCAGCUGCUCCUUCCUCCAGCCUCAGACCUCAGGCACAUCCGGCCACGCACGCCACACCCUGUGCAACCACUGUCCACAUCCCCGAUGCAGGCCUGGGCAGCGUGGCAGAAGUGCCCACACGCAUCGGGCACAGGAUCAGGAAAACCCAACCUCUGCCCCGGAGGGCUCAUCAGCCAAAGUGAAAGGAAUCAUGGAGGAACAGGCAAAGUGCUGUGAAAGGGGAAAUCCAGGAAGGCUUCCUGGAUGGUGUGGCUCCUAAGGUGUGCCUGCAUACAAGAGGGUGUAAGUAAUCCUAACGACAGUAAGGGGUCCGCUGCCGUUUGUGCUCACACCGUGUGCCAGCGAACGAGAAGCACUGUGGUUGCUGCUUCCUUUCAUCCUCAUGAUGCCUUCAGGAGCCUCUUCCUGGGGGGGAGAAAGAAGACCCAACACGCUGGGCUGUGAGCUGUGCUCCAGCGCUGCUGCUGAAUCAUUUCCUCCAGUCAGCCCCACCGAACGCUGCACUCGAGCAUCAGGAAGGAGGACCCCGCCAGCCCUGACUGUGGUGGUCUUCCCGGAGCUGCUCCUUGACAGGCUGGGGGCCUCCAGGAAGCCACUAAUGUCAGCCGGUCUCAAUCCCCAUGGCCUGGCACAGAGCCCAGCACAGAGUAGGCACUCAGCAAAUAAUUGUUGAAUGAACAAAUGGUUGAACAGCUGUUUGUAAAUAACUAAAACAUUCGCCAUGGCAACCAGCUUUCCUCUUUAAUCCAUGUGAAAAGAAAAAAUGAAGCUCUCCAAAUAUUUGCGCGAUAAUAAUCCAUCUUGAAGUUGAAAUAUGUUCCUCCAAAUUACCCCACCAUGUCUGAUUUCAAAGAACUUAUAUUCUUGUAGACUUCAAGAUGGAGCAUGUCAAAUCCUGACAGUCAGGACAAGAGGAGAUGUUCAAAAAGACAGCAGCCAGCCCCUGACAGCUCCCCGGGCCCCAGGAAAGACACGGGAGGGGAGAAGCUGAGUCUCUCCUCCGGGCUGGUGGGGCUUACACGGCGGCACUAGCUUCUUGGGUUUCCCCAUGAGCUGAAUAUUCCUUCCACUAACCCAGGAAUUUGAUGCAAUAAAUCUCAUGAUUACUGAUGGUU